RNAcentral lists this long non-coding RNA (3502 nucleotides) under Panax ginseng (ginseng). RNAcentral describes it as "long non-coding RNA (PGIN_LNC010299)". The record is from RNAcentral. Lineage: Eukaryota; Viridiplantae; Streptophyta; Magnoliopsida; Apiales; Araliaceae.
CCAUUUUUUCUCCAAAAAAAAGAUUUCAAGUAGUAAUAUAUAAAAAUUUAAUAUUCAAAGUUAAAAAUUAAUGUCAAUAAUGAAGGGUCACAAAAAUUAUCGAAGGUCAAAGUUAUCUUGGUACCUUGGAAACCCGUAGGAGGUCCAAUUGUUGCGUAAUCUUCUGCGAUUGAUUCCCAAGAUGAUACUGAAAAAUGUGGACUUUUGAGUUAGAAAGAAAAUUUAGAAUCAGUUUACUACAGCUGGACAUAUCAGAAUUAAAUUUGAAGAAGGUUUACACAUUUAAUAAAUCAAUUGAAGCUCUAUCUCAUGUUUUGAUUGAAAUUUUUACUACCCUCCAUUUGAAAAAGCGUCAUAUUUUGUUGUUGCAAUGAUAUAAAACAACUUUGUCUUUGUAUCAUAAGAUCAUUGCCAUAUUAAUACAAACCAACAUUAUUUACUUCUGAAAUUGCUUCUACUAAUCACCAACCAUUACUUCUAUUACACCCCCCCCAAAAAAAAAAAUAUAAUAAUAAUAAUAACUUUACUUCAUUAAGACCAUGAAUGUGAGCAAUGUGAUGCCUACUUGUGGUAUUGUAGCAGACUCCCAAGAAUUUAGCUCAAAUUUUAAACCCCAGACAAUUUUUCAUGUAUGACACUCACAUACAAUCAGCUAAUGCCUUAGUUACAUGGACUUGGAUGGAGUGUCCGUUCGGACUCAUGUACUUUAAAGAGUCUAACACAAACACUCCUCAAUUUCACCAAAAUUUAGAACUAUAAUGAAAUGUCCAACACACACCCAUAUCCUAGUGUCGACUAUCUGACACAAAUACGUUAGGAUAAAAUGAAGAGUCCAUGUAGCAUCAACCUAAUGCUUCAAAGAAGCUUCAACUGUGGACUAAAAGCUUGGACAUAUAUAAAUUAUCUACCAAUAGUUCGCCAAAGCGAAUAAGCAUCAACUUUCAUCUUCAAAAGCAUUAUGAAAGCUUCAUUAGUGCUAAUUAUUUUAAACCUCCUAAACAUGUUAUUCAUGCCAAUUUUGUUGGACAUAGUCAAAACCAAACAUGUGCAAAAAGUGGAUAACAAAUGUUCCUUUACUCCAAAGUAGAUGUAAUUACCUUUCUCAUGACUUUCAUGGUAUGUGUGGUGGUCAUCAUACUCUCCAUAUACAACCUGUACCACCAACUCAAAUUAAUCACAUAUUUUGGUGCACUUUUUGAAGUCAAUUUAGAAAUCAGAAAAUUCAAAUCAAUACAAAUUUAUUAGAUUUUAGUACAAACAACUAUAAUUAUUAUAAAAUAACUAAAGGGUACUAAAGAAUCAAUUUUGAAUUUUAGAAUUUUGCAUAUGGACUCUAAAAUGUCAAAAUAUUGCAUACAAUUUCGUAAAAGUAUAACAUCAUAAAUGAUCCAAUUGAAGCCAAAAAUUAAGAAAAUGAAAAUAUAUACCUUAACAUCGAUGCAACUAGUUUCUUGUAAAAAGCGUGUCCAAUCUUGCUUACCAAUGUUACUCUGUAAUACUCUACAAAACCAAGUUCUACAAAUAUUGGAAUAAUUUCAUUGUGAAAUCAUUGUAACCAAUUAAGUAAUUAACAAAAUAAAACUCAAACUAAUACAUCAAAUAUGACCUUAACUAAGUUCAAAUAAGAAUAACUAAAACAUCAAAUAAAACCUCACCUUUUACUUUGUAAGCUACAACUUCUCAGCAAUUGAUAUCUUAAGAGGUCGAAACCCUAACCUAUGUUCCCUUGACUUACUGAGACUAAGAAAGAGUGGGUAAUACAAAGGAAUAUAGAAACCCUAGAGCGAGAGAGACAUGGGAGAAAAGUGGGUAAUAUAGAUGUGUGCCCACCUACUUGGGGAACUUCUGCAAGUAAAAAAAAAUUAAAAGUUGUUAUAGUUAAAGAAAGCUCUUGCUCUUAUAUUGCCUGUUAUGAGAAUGGAGUUGAUAAAAAAUGACUAUAAAAAACCAAACUUAAGCUUUGAAAUUUGUUUCUCAUAUAAUUUUUUCCAACAAAAUAAAGGAUAAGAAUAUGUCACAAAAAUCUUUAGCAUUACUUGAAGACGACGAAUGACAACAGGGUUUAUUCCAGUCAGCAUUUCUCUUGCAAAUUCUUCAUUAGUCCUUCAGGUAGGCUAAUUCUCUGCUUAAAAACAUCAAAUGCAAAAUUAAAUUAUUAAAGUUAAAUUAAGAAAUCAAAUAAUGUCAACAAAACUAUUGAAGUGACAGUUUCUUGUUAUACCUUUUAGAAAAAUUAUUGAAGUGACUGUAAAUUGUUGAAUACCUUAAAGUUGACAAUUUUAAAAUAUCUCUUCCACAAAACACUCAUAGCCAUUGGCUAACAAAUUGUCACAAUUUCAAGCUAAUAUAACAACUACUUCAAAAAGUUCUUAUGGUGGUGACAAAUAAAAUUGAGGACAGUAAGGAAUUCGCUUCAUAGAUGCUUUUGAGGGUGAAAAGAAUAAAAUUGAUUGUUUUCUCAUAAAAAAAUUCCAAGAGUGGAGAACCAUUCAGGUGUUCUACCCCUUCUUGCAAAUACUUAAUCUUUAGAUUAUACUAUAGUAAGGGAUUUUGCCCAAAUUCAAACUUGUCGGUGGCUGCCCCAUCUCGAAUUCGUUGCUAUCUAUUAUUCUCUCCAACACUAUCAAUUUAAUUUCUAAUUUCUAACAAUCAAUAUAAAGCAAGGGAAUUUUUUUGUUUAAUGAAAAAAUAAAAUCUGCUCAACAUUGAAACAAAAAGCAAAAUCAAAUCUUUGAAUGCAUACAAAAUAUAUAAAUUGCAAGAGCUGCUAAAGUAUAAAUAAUCACUUUCUAAACAAAAAGAUAACAUAGAAAGCAAAUAACCUGCUUUUAGAGGAUUUCAAGCAAGAAAUGUCCAGAACAGUUGACUUAAAUCAGCUAAUGUAUUCAUUAAGUACAAAAUUAUUCUCAAUAGAUUUCUACCCAAUCCAUUUCAACUAUACAAAUCUAUUUACAAAUUAUUCUCUAUCUAAAACAACCCAUGUAUUCAUUAAGCACAAAAUUAAAGAAAAGGCAAACCCACAUAAAUAUAUACAUUCAAUGCAAUAAAGGAUAAUGAUAAGAGAGAUAACAAUCAAACCUUAGUUCCUCUAUCAAAAAAAUUGGGCCGACAGAGAGCAGAAUAAAUAGCUUUCUUACACAAUUUGGAAGGAAUUUUUUUAAACAAUCUUCGAAUGAUAGCCGACAGAUCUUAUGUGGGUUCAUAUACUCAAGAACAGAAGCCACAACACUCUCGUGUAAAUCGCCGAGAUUGGGUUCCGGCGACGAAGCUGAGGACACCUUCGUGUGAAAAUAAAAGAAAAACCAGAACCCAUUAAAGCAUCAGCCUGAAAAUCAAGGUUUUGAACAGGGGAAGAGGGAAGAGGGAAGUGUGGCGUUGCCUGAAUUCUUCUUCUGCUUCUUCGAAAGAAAGAGACAAAGAGGGGAAUGAAUAGUUUUUGGAAAGGUAUACAGAGCAGGGUGUAAUUGGAGGAGAGUACAAAGGGAAGGAGGUUGGACUUGGU